UACCUGGUUGAUCCUGCCAGUAAUCAUAUGCUUGUCUCAAAGAUUAAGCCAUGCAUGUCUAAGUACAUGCCGAAAUAAGGCGAAACCGUGAAUGGCUCAAUAAAUCAGUUAUGGUUGCUUAGAUCGUUUCUUCCUACUUGGAUAACUGUGGCAAUUCUAGAGCUAAUACAUGCAGUGAACCUGAAGCCCUUUGGGCGACGGGUGCUUUUAUUAGACCAAGAUCGAUCGGGUUUCGGCCCGUAUUGUGUGGUGACUCUGGAUAACUUUGUGCUGAUCGCAUGGCCACGAGCCGGCGACGUUUCUUUCAAGUGUCUGCCUUAUCAACUUUCGAUGGUAGGUUACUUGCUUAACAUGGUUGUUACGGGUAACGGAGAAUCAGGGUUCGAUUCCGGAGAGGGAGCCUGAGAAACGGCUACCACAUCCAAGGAAGGCAACAGGCGCGCAAAUUACCCACUCCCGGCACGGGGAGGUAGUGACGAAAAAUAACAAUACGGGACUCUUUUGAGGCCCCGUAAUUGAAAUGAGUACACUCUAAAUCCUUUAACGAGGAUCAAUUGGAGGGCAAGUCUGGUGCCAGCAGCCGCGGUAUUUCCAGCUCCAAUAGCGUAUACUAAAGCUGCUGCGGUUAAAAAGCUCGUAGUUGGAUCUCAGUUCCAGACGAGUAGUGCAUCUACCCGAUGCGACGGCUCGGACUGAACAUCAUGCCGGUCCUUUCUUGGUGCACUUCAUUGUGUGCCUCGAGAAGUCCGGUGCUUUUACUUUGAAAAAAUUAGAGUGCUCAACGCAGGCGAGUCGCCUGAAUAAACUUGCAUGGAAUAAUAGAACAAGACCUCGUUUCUGUUCUGUUGGUUUUUGGAAUACGAGGUAAUGAUUAAGAGGGACAGACGGGGGCAUUCGUAUUGCGGCGCCAGAGGUGAAAUUCUUGGACCGUCGCAAGACGACCUACUGCGAAAGCAUUUGCCAAGAAUGUUUUCUUUGAUCAAGAACGAAACUCAGAGGUUCGAAGGCUAUCAGAUACCGCCCUAGUUCUGACCAUAAACGAUGCCAACCAGCGAUCCGCCUGAGUUACUCAAAUGACUCGGCGGGCAGCUUCCGGGAAACCAAAGUGUUUGGGUUCCGGGGGAAGUAUGGUUGCAAAGCUGAAACUUAAAGGAAUUGACGGAAGGGCACCACCAGGAGUGGAGCCUGCGGCUUAAUUUGACUCAACACGGGAAAACUUACCCGGCCCGGACACUGGGAGGAUUGACAGAUUGAGAGCUCUUUCUUGAUUCGGUGGAUGGUGGUGCAUGGCCGUUCUUAGUUGGUGGAGCGAUUUGUCUGGUUAAUUCCGAUAACGAACGAGACUCUAGCCUAUUAAAUAGGUGCGGGGUUCCCAGCACCUUACAACCUUCUUAGAGGGACAAGCGGCUCCUAGCCGCACGAAACAGAGCAAUAACAGGUCUGUGAUGCCCUUAGAUGUCCGGGGCCGCACGCGCGCUACACUGAAGGAAGCAGCGUGUCUUUAUCCCUGUCUGAAAAGACUGGGUAACCCGUGGAACUUCUUUGGUGAUUGGGAUAGGGGCUUGCAAUUGUUCCCCUUGAACGAGGAAUUUCCUGUAAGCGCGAGUCAUAAGCUCGCGUUGAUUACGUCCCUGCCCUUUGUACACACCGCCCGUCGCUACUACCGAUUGAAUGAUUUAGUGAGGUCUUCGGACCGAUCUCCGGCGCGGCCUUUCGGUUGCGCCGGUCUGUUGGAAAGAGGACCAAACUUGAUCAUUUAGAGGAAGUAAAAGUCGUAACAAGGUUUCCGUAGGUGAACCUGCGGAAGGAUCAUUA
RNAcentral lists this ribosomal RNA (1815 nucleotides) under Dermacentor andersoni. RNAcentral's name for it is "small subunit ribosomal RNA". It matches the Rfam family "Eukaryotic small subunit ribosomal RNA". The record is from RNAcentral. Lineage: Eukaryota; Metazoa; Arthropoda; Arachnida; Ixodida; Ixodidae.